AUGUCUCUUGCCUCGCUCGGUCUUCUGCUUCUUCAUUCGGUUGAUCUUGAGCUGGAUGCAGCUUGCGCUUCUCUGUGCAAAUCUGUAUGAGACGAGAGUGAGGUUAACGCCCUCGACGAUCUUUGAGUACGGUUUUAUCUGAUAUGCACCACGGAUAUGAUCGUAAUUUAUCAGUCGGGACAGUC
RNAcentral lists this small nucleolar RNA (185 nucleotides) under Aspergillus clavatus NRRL 1. The record is from RNAcentral. Lineage: Eukaryota; Fungi; Ascomycota; Eurotiomycetes; Eurotiales; Aspergillaceae.